Molecule: ribosomal RNA, 492 nt
Filed under: uncultured bacterium
Lineage: Bacteria
Description: partial 16S ribosomal RNA
Rfam family: Bacterial small subunit ribosomal RNA
Source: RNAcentral
AGUGAACGCUGGCGGUAGGCCUAACACAUGCAAGUCGAACGGCAGCACAGUAAGAGCUUGCUCUUACGGGUGGCGAGUGGCGGACGGGUGAGGAAUACAUCGGAAUCUACUUUUUCGUGGGGGAUAACGUAGGGAAACUUACGCUAAUACCGCACACGACCUACGGGUGAAAACAGGGGAUCUUCGGACCUUGCGCGAUUGAAUGAGCCGAUGUCGGAUUAGCUAGUUGGCGGGGUAAAGGCCCACCAAGGCGACGAUCCGUAGCUGGUCUGAGAGGAUGAUCAGCCACACUGGAACUGAGACACGGUCCAGACUCCUACGGGAGGCAGCAGUGGGGAAUAUUGGACAAUGGGCGCAAGCCUGAUCCAGCCAUACCGCGUGGGUGAAGAAGGCCUUCGGGUUGUAAAGCCCUUUUGUUGGGAAAGAAAAGCAGCAGGUUAAUACCCCGCUGUUCUGACGGUACCCAAAGAAUAAGCACCGGCUAACUUCGUG